GUUAAAACAUUGGUUCCCAUCCGAUCACUGAAGUUAAGCAACAUCAAGCCUGGCCAGUACUUAGAUGGGUGACCACUUGGGAAUAUCAGGUGCUAUA
Molecule: non-coding RNA, 97 nt
Organism: Acanthosepion pharaonis
Lineage: Eukaryota; Metazoa; Mollusca; Cephalopoda; Sepiida; Sepiidae
Source: the annotation of a GenBank genome assembly